This 503-nucleotide ribosomal RNA is filed under the name uncultured bacterium. Its description in RNAcentral is "partial 16S ribosomal RNA". It matches the Rfam family "Bacterial small subunit ribosomal RNA", at positions 30 to 523 of the family's 1533-position model. The record is from RNAcentral.
AUUGAACGCUGGCGGCAGGCUUAACACAUGCAAGUCGAGCGGGGGAAGGUAGCUUGCUACCGGACCUAGCGGCGGACGGGUGAGUAAUGCUUAGGAAUCUGCCUAUUAGUGGGGGACAACAUCUCGAAAGGGAUGCUAAUACCGCAUACGUCCUACGGGAGAAAGCAGGGGAUCACUUGUGACCUUGCGCUAAUAGAUGAGCCUAAGUCGGAUUAGCUAGUUGGUGGGGUAAAGGCCUACCAAGGCGACGAUCUGUAGCGGGUCUGAGAGGAUGAUCCGCCACACUGGGUCUGGGACACGGCCCAGACUCCUACGGGAGGCAGCAGUGGGGAAUAUUGGACAAUGGGGGGAACCCUGAUCCAGCCAUGCCGCGUGUGUGAAGAAGGCCUUAUGGUUGUAAAGCACUUUAAGCGAGGAGGAGGCUCUUUUGGUUAAUACCCAAGAUGAGUGGACGUUACUCGCAGAAUAAGCACCGGCUAACUCUGUGCCAGCAGCCGCCGUAA